CGGACAGCAAUAUGAAGGUCAGGCUGAAGACCUUACCCGAUUAGCUGAGAGGUGGUGCAUGGCCGUCGUCAGUUCGUACUGUGAAGCAUCCUGUUAAGUCAGGCGACGAGCGAGACCCACGUCCACAGUUGCCAGCAUACCCUCCGGGGUGAUGGGUACACUGUGGAGACCGCCGCUGCUAAAGCGGAGGAAGGAGUGGGCAACGGUAGGUCAGUAUGCCCCGAAUCUCCCGGGCUACACGCGGGCUACAAUGGUCGGUACAAUGGGCAUCUUACCCCGAAAGGGGAAGGAAAUCUCUUAAAGCCAAUCGUAGUUCGGAUUGAGGGCUGCAACUCGCCCUCAUGAAGCUGGAAUCCGUAGUAAUCGCGUUUCAACAGAACGCGGUGAAUACGUCCCUGCUCCUU
Molecule: ribosomal RNA, 404 nt
Filed under: uncultured Methanosaeta sp.
Lineage: Archaea; Methanobacteriati; Methanobacteriota; Methanomicrobia; Methanotrichales; Methanotrichaceae
Description: bacterial SSU rRNA
Rfam family: Archaeal small subunit ribosomal RNA
Source: RNAcentral